RNAcentral lists this ribosomal RNA (2812 nucleotides) under Candidatus Opimibacter skivensis. RNAcentral describes it as "23S ribosomal RNA". It matches the Rfam family "Bacterial large subunit ribosomal RNA". The record is from RNAcentral. Lineage: Bacteria; Pseudomonadati; Bacteroidota; Saprospiria; Saprospirales; Saprospiraceae.
UAGGAAGCGAUUAAGAGCGUAUGGGGAAUGCCUAGGCUCUCAGAGACGACGAAGGACGUGGUAAGCUGCGAAAAGCUGCGGGGAGUUGCAAACGAACUUUGAUCCGCAGAUGUCCGAAUGGGACAACCCCUAUGGUUGAAGACCAUAGAUCAUACCGAAAGUAUGAAGACAACCCGGAGAACUGAAACAUCUAAGUACCCGGAGGAACAGAAAUCAACGAGAUUCCCUUAGUAGUGGCGAGCGAAAAGGGAACAGCCCAUUAAGUAUAGUACCGAGUAGUAGAAGUGGUCUGGAAAGCCACACCGUAGAAAGUGAAAGUCUUGUAAACGAAACGAGGUAUUAUGUGAAUUGAGUAGGGCGGGACACGUGAAAUCCUGUCUGAAUAUGGGGGGACCAUCCUCCAAGGCUAAAUACUCCUGAGAGACCGAUAGUGAACCAGUACCGUGAGGGAAAGGUGAAAAGGACCCCGAAAAGGGGAGUGAAAAGACCCUGAAACCAUACGCUUACAAGCGGUAGGAGUAGCACUUCGGUGCUAUGACUGCGUGCCUUUUGCAUAAUGAUCCUACGAGUUGCUCCUGACUAGCAAGUUUAAUUCCAAUGAAGGGAAGGAGGCGAAGCGAAAGCGAGUCUGAAUAGGGCGCACAGCUAGUUGGGGCAGACGCGAAACCACGGUGAUCUACCCAUGGGCAGGUUGAAGGUCAGAUAAUCUCUGACUGGAGGACCGAACCGGUGUACGUUGAAAAGUGCUCGGAUGACCUGUGGGUAGGGGUGAAAGGCCAAUCAAACCUGGAGAUAGCUCGUACUCCCCGAAAUGCAUUGAGGUGCAGCGUUGGUAUUUUUUGUAUUGGAGGUAGAGCUACCAAUAAGGCUAGGGGGCUUCGCGGCCUACCAACCCUUGAUGAACUCCGAAUGCCAGUACAAAUAACCAGCAGUGAGGCGCGGGGUGCUAAGGUCACGCGCCGAGAGGGGAAUAACCCAGAACAACAGCUAAGGUCCCUAAGUAUACAUUAAGUUGAUCUAACGAUGUGAGGAUGCUUUGACAGCUAGGAUGUUGGCUUGGAAGCAGCCAUUCAUUUAAAGAGUGCGUAACAGCUCACUAGUCGAGCGUUCUUGCGCGGAAAAUGAUCGGGCAUCAAAUGUAUCACCGAAGCAUUGUUUCCGAAAGGAAGGUAGGGGAGCAUUCUAAUCUGCGUUGAAACCAGGUCGUGAGACAAUGGCGGAGCGAUUAGAAAAGAAAAUGUAGGAAUGAGUAACGAUUAAUACGGUCAGAAACCGUAUCGCCGUAAGACUAAGGUUUCCUGGAUCGAUGUUCGACAGACCAGGGUGAGUCGGGACCUAAGGAAAACCCGAAAGGGGUAUUCGAUGGCAAACGGGUUAAUAUUCCCGUACCAGUUUACAAUAAAAGGGGACGGAGAUCUGAACUGAUCGCGCACUGACGGAAUAGUGCGUUGAACUACUCGUAAGGGUAGGAUAGUACCCCAAUCCCGCAAGGGCGAGGGGAUAGUGUCAGGUAAGGUCUUCCAAGAAAAGCCGAAGUAAACUGCUCGUACCGUAAUCCGACACAGGUAGUCGAGGAGAGUAUCCUCAGGCGCUCGAAUGAUUCAUGGCUAAGGAACUAGGCAAAUUAGACGCGUAACUUCGGGAGAAGCGUCCCCCGCUUCGGCGGGGCGCAGUGAAACGGCCCAGGCGACUGUUUAGCAAAAACACAGGACUAUGCUAAUUCGUAAGAAGAUGUAUAUGGUCUGACACCUGCCCGGUGCUGGAAGGUUAAGGAAGGGGGUUAGCGCAAGCGAAGCUCUUGACUGAAGCCCCAGUAAACGGCGGCCGUAACUAUAACGGUCCUAAGGUAGCGAAAUUCCUUGUCGGGUAAGUUCCGACCUGCACGAAUGGUGUAACGAUCUGGGCUCUGUCUCAGCCAUGAUUUCGGUGAAAUUGAAGUAUCGGUGAAGAUACCGGUUACCCGCAAUGGGACGAAAAGACCCCGUGCACCUUUACUAUAGCUUCACAUUGGUCUUGAGUCUAAUAUGUGUAGGAUAGCUGGGAGACUUUGAAGCUGCCACGCCAGUGGUGGUGGAGUCGUCCUUGAAAUACCAGCCUUGUUAUAUUUAGGUUCUAAUCCCGCUUUAAGUGGGAGACAGUGUGUGGUGGGUAGUUUGACUGGGGUGGUCGCCUCCAAAAGAGUAACGGAGGCUCGCAAAGGUACCCUCAGUACCGUUGGUAAUGGUACGAAGAGCGUAUGAGUAUAAGGGUGCUUGACUGAGAGAGCGACGGCUCGAUCAGGUGCGAAAGCAGGCUCAAGUGAUCCGGUAACUCCACAUGGGUGGGUUAUCGCUCAUAGGAUAAAAGGUACGCCGGGGAUAACAGGCUGAUCUCCCCCAAGAGCUCAUAUCGACGGGGAGGUUUGGCACCUCGAUGUCGGUUCGUCACAUCCUGGGGCUGGAGAAGGUCCCAAGGGUUGGGCUGUUCGCCCAUUAAAGUGGCACGUGAACUGGGUUCAGAACGUCGCAAGACAGUUCGGUCUCUAUCUAUUGCGGGCGCGGGAAUAUUGAGAAGAUCUGACACUAGUACGAGAGGACCGUGUUGGACGUACCGCUAGUGUACCAGUUGUGGCGCCAGCUGCACCGCUGGGUAGCUAUGUACGGAACGGAUAAGCGCUGAAAGCAUCUAAGCACGAAGCCGUCUUUAAGAUGAGUAUUCCAUUCUCCCUUGCGGAGAUGAAGGGUCGUAGAAGAUGACUACGUUGAUAGGCUAUAGGUGGAAGUACAGUGAUGUAUGUAGCCGAGUAGUACUAAUCACCCGAAAGCUUCCUUUU